ACAGCUUAGGGGAGCUUGCUUGUGAUCCAACGGAUUACACACAUUCCCCAUGGCCUUUAAAGGCUGAAUGAUCUUGCCCUUUUCUCAUUUCCUUCUUAUUCCUUUGUCUUUUUCACUCGAUAGAGAGAGAGAGAGUGAGAGAGAAAGAGAUAGAAAAGAAAACUCGAGAGGCCAUCAUGCUCCGUCCUUCCUCAUCGUGCAAAAAUGAUUGUGUAUUGAUUCUCACAAUCACAUGGUGAGUUUCCUUCUCUUUUUUUUUUCUAGUUCUGUUCUUCCUUUUGGAGUGUGAAGCCA
This 294-nucleotide long non-coding RNA is filed under the name Carica papaya (papaya). Its description in RNAcentral is "long non-coding RNA (CPAP_LNC006276)". Lineage: Eukaryota; Viridiplantae; Streptophyta; Magnoliopsida; Brassicales; Caricaceae. The record is from RNAcentral.